GAUGAAGAACGUAGCGAAAUGCGAUAAGUAGUGUGAAUUGCAGAAUUCAGUGAAUCAUCGAAUCUUUGAACGCACAUUGCGCCCCUUGGUAUUCCAUGGGGCAUGCCUGUUCGAGCGUCAUUUGUACCUUCAAGCUCUGCUUGGGGUUGGGUGUUUGUCUCGCCUCUGCGCGUAGACUCGCCUCAAAACAAUUGGCAGCCGGCGUAUUGAUUUCGGAGCGCAGUACAUCUCGCGCUUUGCACUCAUAACGACGACGUCCAAAAGUACAUUUUUACACUCUUGACCUCGGAUCAGGUAGGGAUACCCGCUGAACUUAAGCAUAUCAAUAAGCGGAGGA
Molecule: unclassified non-coding RNA, 337 nt
Filed under: soil metagenome
Description: partial contains 5.8S ribosomal RNA, internal transcribed spacer 2, and large subunit ribosomal RNA
Rfam family: 5.8S ribosomal RNA (bases 1-120)
Source: RNAcentral